Megalopta genalis is the source of this 5724-nucleotide long non-coding RNA. RefSeq lists it as uncharacterized. Lineage: Eukaryota; Metazoa; Arthropoda; Insecta; Hymenoptera; Halictidae. The record is from RefSeq and is a predicted model, not a curated record.
AAGAAAAAAUGACAAUCGGCUCCGUCGCUCGAGCGGAUAAUUUAAAGUCAAGUGCACGCACCGCGUGUGUCUGUCCUCUCCCUGCAGUUAAUUUGUCGCGGGAUCGUCGCGUCGUCCCGGCGCAUCGCCUUUGAAACGUCGCUCGUGCGACUGGUGCACGGCCCGUGUGUGACUCGUGUGUAAGGCUCGCGGCUCUUUUUCCCAUGUACCCGCGACUUUGUCUGAGCGCCCGCAGGCCGCGAGCCGUGCGUCUCCACGGCCUGCGGGCGUGGGCAUUAACGCGUCUAGGCUGACCGUGCUGAAAACAUAAGCGCGUCUCCCCGACGACCGCGGCGAUUCGCUUUAUCGUGCCAUUGUACUUUUCCUCUUGGCCCGCGUGAUUUCACUUGCCGCCGGACGAUAUCGCCAAUUGUUUAAACAACGCGCCGCUUUCGAAGAAGCGCCGAACAGACCCCUUUUGCGCGGCGAUUCGCACACGUGAUCGAUAACGACCGCUCGCGUUCGCGAUUUCAUAGGACCCGUCGAUUCCAUGCUUCGCGCGCGAAUCGUCGCGCGAAAGAGAGGCCUCUUCUCGACGCAGAAGGGAAAGUAAUUUCGAAGAUGGUUAUUCCAAUAACAAAAAAUACUGUCGCUGCUGAACGGCGAGAGACAGCAGCGCACGAGAGACAUUUUUCUCCGCUAGCGUAAGCUCUCCUGCGCGUUCGGGGAGCGGCAUGUUAAUUCACUCGCGUCCGAAGGCCUUGAGCGUCUAUAAUUAACGGCGCGCAAAAAUCAGCGAAAUUCUCGGCGUGUCACGCAUUGUUUCUUCGGCCGAGGAGAGGAUUCGUUCGCGCGAACCCAAGAUCUUCGACGAGCGGGCAUUCCGCGAGCGGUCGACGCGAGUCAGCUCCUCUCCUCGAAGGACGACCGAUGUUUUCGCGACAGGUAGAAGGAAACUCGGUCCCGAAGGGUACGGGAGAAGGGAAACGUAGAAAGUAUGCGCGCAGGGGGAGAGGUUCGGACCCUGGCUAGCCGUUCCCAGAGCCGAAAGUUCCCCGCUGCGACGUCUGGGCCGAUAAUUUUUAUUAUUCCUCGCCCACGGAGCGUCGUCCUUACGCACGGCCUCUUCCACGAAUCGGCUGACCGCGUUUCCACCUACGGUUGUCCCUCUUAAAUGCUCGCCAAUUAAGGGAGGACGUGCUAGGAAAUCGGUGCUUUCAUCGGUCGCCGAUCACACACUCCGCUUUGUCUUCUUCUUUGUCUCUUUCGAUCGACUCGGACGCGUCGACUCGUGUUACGACACGGUCAAUACCGAGAAGAAAAAUCUAAACACGGCGCGGAGCCGCCGCGCCGGGUUCCUCGUCGUCUUCGUUGGAACGAACGAUCGCCGCAGAGAGACAAAGCCGCCGAUUCCACCGAGUAUUCACGGCCACGACGCGACGCUAAUUAUUCCUGUAAAAGUUUAAGCGACUGCGGCGCGGCGACGGUGGUUAUUACGCCGACUGCGGGGCAAUUAGCCCGGCUCCUGUGCUCGAGUGCAACGUGAAACGAUCGUCACGGUGUUCGCUCUUCGGAACGACCCUGACAAAGUCCGACCAGCCGGCCAGACAACCGCGAGACGGCCGGCAAGCGUUUCGCGAAUGCUCGAGAGCCGUUUCGUGCGUGUUUGUGGCUGACGCGUGACGGGGACUGAGCGGCGGAGCUGUGGGAUCGCCGCGCUCGAGGCGAGCAACGUCGAGGACUCUCGUCGCCUCUUCUAGGAAUCACGGGAAAAGAACAAGGAUGCCCGGUCGACGACGGUUUUCUCAAUCGAACCGCGAUGGAGCAUGCUUCCAUGCCGAUGUACCACCUUAGGACCUGGGACCUAGGAUCUAGACGAUAUCUAUAAAUAGGACGCGUUCCAGGCAUCGCAGGAUUUCCGUAGAAAUCGCGACGGAGCCUCGCGUCCCGCGAAGUUCCUUUUCAUGACCGAGCGUCACCGCAACGAGAAAGUCUCCGGAUCGAGGGAUCGGGACCGGCCGCAAAAACAGAAGCCACGAAAUUGCUCGGUAGUUUAAAUGUCAGCGAUGAACGAGCAGCCGGUACGAGAGGCUGCGGUGGCGUCCGUGUUCCGGAGAAAAAGAGAUUAACAGGGCCGGAGAACAAAACGUAAGAUCGUUGAAAGAACCGUAGGACGAGAAGACGAGAAGAGAAAAGGAGAAAAGAGAGAGAGAGAGAGAGAGAGAGAGAGAGAAAGAGGUGCAGAGGAGAGAAGAGAGCAGAGGAGAGGAGAGGAGAAGGGUCCGCGGCAGCGGGAGGGGAAGGAGAAGAUUGGCAAUGCAGUGAUACGCAGCGCGGCAGCAGUGGCGCCGAAAAUGCAAUGCGGUGCGCCGGGACGACGGUGUCGGCGUCGGGCGUGGCGGAUAACUGACCUCGACUCGUCUAGCUCGGCCGCCCCUGACGCCUCUUGGCAGACCUUCCUCUGUCCCUCCGAUGCAGCACCGUGCCUUUAUGCCAGUGAUCCCCCACUGGAACAACGCCGACGCCGACGCCGACGCCGACGCCGACUCGACCGCCGCGUUCAUCGUCGUCCGCAACUUCUCUGCUCUAGCCGAUCGUGCUACCCUUCUUCACCCACCGAGCUUUCGUUCUCGUCCUACGAUCAAAUGGUCUGGGUUGCCCCUCCAACGCCGACCUUACUCCCUCUACACUUGCCUUAUACACCGGGUCUUCUCUCCCCCCUUCCUCCGUCUUUCUUGCUCUAAUAGCGUCAUCUCUCUCUUUCUCUCUCUCUCUCACUCGCUCUCUUCAAUCGUCUACUCUUCUGGCCUCGUCUGGUCUGUUAGCUCGGUCUAGUCUCGACUCGACUCGACUCGGCUCGUCUCGUCUCGUCUCGUCUCGUCUCGUCUCGUAGCGGCCUUCCGCGCCCCUGGCAGAUCGGCAGACAGCAGUCUGACUGUCUGGUUGCCCGGCAACGCGCCGCUGCCCGUCGCCGUCGAUGAGAGAGGGUGAAUUCAGCGAUAGUUACGCGCUGCAUCCUGCACGAGCAAAUGCCCGCAUCAGGCUACAUCGUGCACCCUUGGAGGAGAUGACACGGUGAGACAGGCGAGCGCAACGGUGACGCACAAGGGUCCCCGGUAUAUUUCGAAAAUUAUUAUUCGCUAUGGUCGCGGUAGUCUCUCGGGCCCCAGAGCGUUCUUUCGGAUACUUUGAAGCACGCGAGUCGGGACUGACGCGGUCGAAGGAUUGGAGAGGAGACAUGCGGGCCCAUUAGCCAGGGGCAGGUGGAACCGUCUUUACGGAUGGCCCACUUUUCUUUCUGCCGAACGAUAAUUAGCAAUUACGCUAGCUUCCUCUGUAACGGCGGCGAUAGGGGUAGAUAUACGCGGCCCCUAAUUGGUCCCCGCGCAGAGGCCCCCUCUAAAAAAACAAGCGCGCUCGUUAGACGUUUCCAUCGAACGCUAUACGGCGACACGUCGGCCCCGCGUCGGUGUCGGCGUCUGCGUCAGCAACAGAGGCUGGUGUGGGUGCUAAAGGUUAAAGUCAUAUAUGCAGCCGAGAGAAUUUCGAGACGCGCCAGUAGCAUAGAAAAUCUGCGCGGGGUUAAAUUUAGGUGGCUUCGUUACCUGGAAUACGCGUAGCCGACCACGCUAAGUUCACGCUUUGCGACAUCGAUCGACCGUCCACUUGCAAAAAAAGAAAAAAUAAGAAAAGACGUUCGAUGCGAGAAGCGAGCCGACGAAUGGCAAGACCCGGAGCUUAUUGUCGGCGAAGGAUACGAGCGGAUAGAGCAAGUUAACGGUACAAGUCGAACCUAUUACCCGGGCACAAUGGCAAGGUGCGAGCAAAAAGGUAGCGGCGCGUUUCGAAUGCGAGAAAUUCCGGGAACCUUAAUUGUAAGGAACGUGUACAGUUAGGACGAUGUCGACCGCCGCAAAACAGCUUGCGCCCGACGCUUUCGUGUUUUUGGUUGUUCCCCUCGGCUCUGGUCGCGCGAGGAGGAAUCGUCCCGCCAGCGAGGUGCAAUGGCCCCUGAAUGAACGCUACCGUUGCCACACCGCGGUAGCGAUCGCGUGAAAAUUGCGAACGCUAAUUGCCGCAAGACCGGGCUCGGCCCGAUCGACGCCGCCAUCGAUGUAUGCAUGUGUGUGUACAUAGAACGCGGUGCGCCACGGCGUCGGUUAAUAAUACGAAAGUUAUUAAUGGUUCGAGUCAAUGAUCGGCCGAUGUGAGAUCAUUCUAUCGGCAGUCAGUACAACACGUGGGUGUAUUAAACGGCAGGCGAUAGCCGUCUAUCGCGGGAACCGAGUGAAAUAACAGCGCCGCGGACUACGCUACUGCGACGCGAUCGAUGCGUUUGAUGCAUCGACUCUUUCGGAAAAAAUGCAUAGCGAGCGUACGGUGCAUCGGUAAGUCGGCACACCGUGUCUGAGGAGCGUCAAUAUUUAGAAGAAGCCGGCAUUGUACACCGGGAUCGGCCGCGGAACGAAAAUAACGUCGACCGGCUCGCGUUUACACGGCUACGCGUUACAACAACAUUCCUUUGUUAGAAACCAAUUCCUUGGCCAAUAAGGUUCGACUAUGUGUGACUCAUAACGCAACUGUUCAGUGACUCAGAGCCCGGAGAUUGUUAGCAAUGUCCCGAGAAGACGUGGCAUCGGAACCUGAAUCAUGAGAAUAUCGCUAUGACCGUCGGAUACCGAUAUAAGUAUAUAUGUACCUGUUCCCCGACGCUCGACCAGAAACUCUUUACAGAAACUGUGUUACUAAAAUACUAAAAUAACACCGACAUAAAAUACUAGAGAAAAAAGUAAUAAAUAAUAGAAUUGCUUUCCACGCUAGAAUCUGCUGGAAAAAACGACGGUUCCCCAUAAUUAUCGGUGAUCUGUUCGUAGCUAACCGAUGGAAAGGAAACGAUCAUGAGCCUGCAAUUAGGAACUGGACGAAAUGUUUGGGCGUGGAGUAAGACGCGUCGAAAUUUAAUGAUAUUAAAAUAUUGCAAUUUAUUCGGAAUAAUAAUCGUGCUCACGCAGCACGGAAACACGAUUAAGAUUAAAAACUAAAAAUCCGGCACCUGCUGCCGUUCUCAACGACCCAAAUAUUUCCGGAUUCACCUUGUACCCGAAUGUUCCGUACGGUUGAGCCGCUUAACGAUUCACCCGUACAUCUGUUCGUGAAAAGAUCUUUUGUGUUUUCUUUUUCGUAGGUACAGUCGGUUUCCUGUAAGAAAGGCCCUUUAUCACACGAAACGAUCAAUGACGGUCGUAAACCGACCGUUAGGCCUUUGUCGCGUCAUUUCAUACCUGCAGUGUACGUGCACCGAGAAUUAUGCUAGCGCGCUGGGCUCGUUUAGGUUCCUACCGAGCUUCGAAACACGUUAGAAAAUAGAAUGUACUUGGUCGAGAAAUAAGUGCCUGCCGAGUCUGAUACCAACGUAUGCGAGGACGUAUCGUGUAAUUAUAUACUAUUGAUUGCAUACUCAGAGAUUUUUUCGCUUCGUGGUUUCAGUAAAAAAUAUCGUUUUAUUUGAAAUACGUAAAUUUGUCGUUAUAAAGCAAAACAUUAGCGUAAAUGCUAAAAUUAAUGCUACUCGUCGAAAUAUUCGUACAGUUUAAUCAUUCUCAACCUUCCUUACAAUUAAAAACCUUACCAAUCGUAAUGCUUAUUCUCGUUAAUACAUUAUCUGUACACAAAACGCACUGUCAAACAUUACACGCUCUCUCAUACGUAUACUAUUUGUACAAUAAAAGUUCGCUAUCAUGUAAA